Molecule: ribosomal RNA, 490 nt
Filed under: uncultured bacterium
Lineage: Bacteria
Description: partial 16S ribosomal RNA
Rfam family: Bacterial small subunit ribosomal RNA
Source: RNAcentral
AUUGAACGCUGGCGGCAGGCCUAACACAUGCAAGUCGAACGGUAACAGGAAGAAGCUUGCUUCUUUGCUGACGAGUGGCGGACGGGUGAGUAAUGUCUGGGAAACUGCCUGAUGGAGGGGGAUAACUACUGGAAACGGUAGCUAAUACCGCAUAACGUCGCAAGACCAAAGAGGGGGACCUUCGGGCCUCUUGCCAUCGAAUGUGCCCCGAUGGGAUUAGCUAGUAGGUGGGGUAACGGCUCACCUAGGCGACGAUCCCUAGCUGGUCUGAGAGGAUGACCAGCCACACUGGAACUGAGACACGGUCCAGACUCCUACGGGAGGCAGCAGUGGGGAAUAUUGCACAAUGGGCGCAAGCCUGAUGCAGCCAUGCCGCGUGUAUGAAGAAGGCCUUCGGGUUGUAAAGUACUUUCAGCGGGGAGGAAGGAAGUAAAGUUAAUACCUUUGCUCAUUGACGUUCCCCGCAGAAGAAGCACCGGCUAACUCCGUG